AUGACUGGGGUGAAGUCGUAACAAGGUAACCGUAGGGGAACCUGCGGUUGGCUCACCUCCUGCCCUGAAAGCAGC
Molecule: ribosomal RNA, 75 nt
Filed under: Escherichia coli
Lineage: Bacteria; Pseudomonadati; Pseudomonadota; Gammaproteobacteria; Enterobacterales; Enterobacteriaceae
Description: partial 16S ribosomal RNA
Rfam family: Bacterial small subunit ribosomal RNA (bases 1-63)
Source: RNAcentral